AUAAAAACAACAAAAUUAUCUAAAAUUUAUACCGUAUCAGAUCAAAAAUAACAAAAAAUUUGAAACAACAAAAUCUAAAACCAUCAAAAACUCUUCAAUAGCCAAAUAUUGAAGAUCUAGAUCUGCAAUCCAUGACCAUCGCAAGAGAUCCUUAAACCCUCCUUGACCACCAUAAGCAGUUCAUUUCCGUUAUCUUCCUUACAGGAUCAAAGAAAGGUAGCUCGCUUAUGAAGAGUACGUUCAUCUUCGUCCUGUUCCAUGAGGCAAAGAUCGAUCGAUUUCCGAUUUCAGUUUUAUAUAUAAAAAUCUAUGUUGAAAUCUGUAUUUCAGUCAUUUUUAUGGUAGAUCUGAUGGAUGAAUGAUUUUUAAUGUGCAUAUCAUCAAUGACCGUGAGACAGGCAGAUCUAGAAUUUUCGGAUUCGUUACCUUCAAGGAUGAGAAGUCGAUGAGGGACGCCAUUGAAGGUGGUCGUUGUGAAGGUGAUUACGGAGGAGGCGGUGGCUAUGGAGGAGGUCGCCGUGAAGGUAGAGGUGGAGGUGGAGGUGGCGGGUAUGGA
RNAcentral lists this long non-coding RNA (556 nucleotides) under Panax ginseng (ginseng). RNAcentral describes it as "long non-coding RNA (PGIN_LNC003254)". The record is from RNAcentral. Lineage: Eukaryota; Viridiplantae; Streptophyta; Magnoliopsida; Apiales; Araliaceae.